Molecule: transfer RNA, 72 nt
Filed under: Loxodonta africana (African savanna elephant)
Lineage: Eukaryota; Metazoa; Chordata; Mammalia; Proboscidea; Elephantidae
Rfam family: tRNA
About the family: Transfer RNA (tRNA) molecules are approximately 80 nucleotides in length. Their secondary structure includes four short double-helical elements and three loops (D, anti-codon, and T loops). Further hydrogen bonds mediate the characteristic L-shaped molecular structure. tRNAs have two regions of fundamental functional importance: the anti-codon, which is responsible for specific mRNA codon recognition, and the 3' end, to which the tRNAs corresponding amino acid is attached (by aminoacyl-tRNA synthetases). tRNAs cope with the degeneracy of the genetic code in two manners: having more than one tRNA (with a specific anti-codon) for a particular amino acid; and 'wobble' base-pairing, i.e. permitting non-standard base-pairing at the 3rd anti-codon position.
Source: Rfam by way of RNAcentral
CCCUGGGUGGUGCAAAGUUAACACGCUUGGCUGGUAGCCAAAAGGCUGGAGGUUCAAGUCUACCCACAGGCA